AAAGUGAUAAUGCUUUGGUUGCCACGCAGGACCCAAGUUCGCAUUUCGGGUCCGGCAUCUCCUGAAAAUGUAUUUUCGGGGUUCUGGGACCGGCCCGGCGUUCUAUGUCCUUCACUAUCCGGCUUCCCUCUACGGGUGUGAGUGCAGACCGUGGUUGGAACUGGCCCUUAUUAAUCUCCCUGAUUGGAAAGGGACACAAAAAUGUAAAAAAAAAUUCCCGGCCGACCCCAUCAAGGCGCCGAGUCCGUCGGUUUAACCCCCUAAGGACUGGAAUCCAAUUUCGGGAUAAGCUGUUUUUAUCCCGAUUGACUCCGUCAUGGCGCUGAACCGAUCGGUUCGACCCUUGGGGAAAGGAGAAU
This 359-nucleotide long non-coding RNA is filed under the name Androctonus crassicauda. Lineage: Eukaryota; Metazoa; Arthropoda; Arachnida; Scorpiones; Buthidae. The record is from RNAcentral.